This 1195-nucleotide ribosomal RNA is filed under the name Escherichia coli. Its description in RNAcentral is "partial 23S ribosomal RNA". It matches the Rfam family "Bacterial large subunit ribosomal RNA", at positions 1 to 1238 of the family's 2925-position model. The record is from RNAcentral. Lineage: Bacteria; Pseudomonadati; Pseudomonadota; Gammaproteobacteria; Enterobacterales; Enterobacteriaceae.
GGUUAAGCGACUAAGCGUACACGGUGGAUGCCCUGGCAGUCAGAGGCGAUGAAGGACGUGCUAAUCUGCGAUAAGCGUCGGUGAGGUGAUAUGAACCGUUAUAACCGGCGAUUUCCGAAUGGGGAAACCCAGUGUGUUUCGACACACUAUCAUUAACUGAAUCCAUAGGUUAAUGAGGCGAACCGGGGGAACUGAAACAUCUAAGUACCCCGAGGAAAAGAAAUCAACCGAGAUUCCCCCAGUAGCGGCGAGCGAACGGGGAGGAGCCCAGAGCCUGAAUCAGUGUGUGUGUUAGUGGAAGCGUCUGGAAAGGCGCGCGAUACAGGGUGACAGCCCCGUACACAAAAAUGCACAUAUUGUGAGCUCGAUGAGUAGGGCGGGACACGUGGUAUCCUGUCUGAAUAUGGGGGGACCAUCCUCCAAGGCUAAAUACUCCUGACUGACCGAUAGUGAACCAGUACCGUGAGGGAAAGGCGAAAAGAACCCCGGCGAGGGGAGUGAAAAAGAACCUGAAACCGUGUACGUACAAGCAGUGGGAGCCUCUUAAUGGGGUGACUGCGUACCUUUUGUAUAAUGGGUCAGCGACUUAUAUUCUGUAGCAAGGUUAACUGAAUAGGGGAGCCGAAGGGAAACCGAGUCUUAACUGGGCGUUAAGUUGCAGGGUAUAGACCCGAAACCCGGUGAUCUAGCCAUGGGCAGGUUGAAGGUUGGGUAACACUAACUGGAGGACCGAACCGACUAAUGUUGAAAAAUUAGCGGAUGACUUGUGGCUGGGGGUGAAAGGCCAAUCAAACCGGGAGAUAGCUGGUUCUCCCCGAAAGCUAUUUAGGUAGCGCCUCGUGAAUUCAUCUCCGGGGGUAGAGCACUGUUUCGGCAAGGGGGUCAUCCCGACUUACCAACCCGAUGCAAACUGCGAAUACCGGAGAAUGUUAUCACGGGAGACACACGGCGGGUGCUAACGUCCGUCGUGAAGAGGGAAACAACCCAGACCGCCAGCUAAGGUCCCAAAGUCAUGGUUAAGUGGGAAACGAUGUGGGAAGGCCCAGACAGCCAGGAUGUUGGCUUAGAAGCAGCCAUCAUUUAAAGAAAGCGUAAUAGCUCACUGGUCGAGUCGGCCUGCGCGGAAGAUGUAACGGGGCUAAACCAUGCACCGAAGCUGCGGCAGCGACACUAUGUGUUGUUGGGUAGGGGAGCG